Molecule: ribosomal RNA, 338 nt
Filed under: uncultured bacterium
Lineage: Bacteria
Description: bacterial SSU rRNA
Rfam family: Bacterial small subunit ribosomal RNA
Source: RNAcentral
ACAGAUCGUUCAGAGUUUGAUCCUGGCUCAGGACGAACGCUGGCGGCGUGCUUAACACAUGCAAGUCGAACGGAGUUAAGGAGCUUGCUUCUUAACUUAGUGGCGAACGGGUGGGUAACGCGUGAGGAACCUGCCUUUCAGAGGGGGACAACAGUUGGAAACGACUGCUAAUACCGCAUGAUACUUGCGAAUGGCAUCAUUUGCAAGUCAAAGAUUUAUCGCUGAAAGAUGGCCUCGCGUCUGAUUAGCUAGUUGGUGGGGUAACGGCCCACCAAGGCGACGAUCAGUAGCCGGACUGAGAGGUUGACCGGCCACAUUGGGACUGAGAUACGGCCCAG